GGCCCGGGGCGCCCAGUUCCCGGGCCAGCGGUCGCGGCGGCGCCAGAGCCCGCGGAGGACGGCCGGCAGCGCGCCAGGUGCGGGAGGAAACUAGACUUGGGCGUCCACCCGAGGACUUGGGCGACCGUAUUAGCACUGCUGCUAUUUCUGCGCAUGGGCAUUGGAGACAUCUGCUUGCAAAGCAAACUUCUCUGCAGGACUAUGGAUGAUACUAGAACUUUACUUGAUAUUAAAGAGUGCCCUGAUCCUGAGAUUCAGAAAAACCGAGUACUAACUCUGGAAGAAUGGCAAGAAAAGUGGGUGGACCACAAAAUUUCAUUUCAUCAAGAGCAAGGACAUCAGCUAUUAAAGAAGCAUUUGGAUUCUUUUCUUAAAGGCGAGAGUGGACUGAGGGUAUUUUUUCCUCUUUGUGGAAAAGCCGUUGAGAUGAAAUGGUUUGCCGACCGAGGACACAGUGUAGUUGGUGUGGAAAUCAGCGAACUUGGGAUACGGGAAUUUUUUAAAGAGCAGGAUCUUUCUUACUCAGAAGAGCCAGUCAUGGAAAUUCCUGGAGCCAAAGUAUUCAAGAGUUCUACAGGGAGCAUCACCUUGUACUGCUGCAGCCUCUUUGACCUGCCCAGAGCAAAUAUUGGCAAAUUUGACAGGAUCUGGGAUAGAGGAGCAUUAGUUGCUGUUAACCCGAGUGAUCAUAAACGCUAUGCAGAUAUAAUGCUGUCCCUAAUGGGAAAAGGGUGUCACUACCUCUUGUGUGUCCUUUCUUACGAUCCAACUAAAUAUGCAGAGCUCGAACUUUAGAAGGAUGGCCCUACUAUAAAAGAGAUGGCAUGAACCCUGGAUUAGGAGGAAGAGGUUUGGUCACCCUGUUGUGGGCAUAGUGUAUGGGUGUCAUCCAUGGUGGCUGUGUUCGGCAGAUGCCUAUAAGCACACAAACACACCCUCAGAGGAUGGGCUGAGCGGACGUGGGGGGUCGGGGAUGUGUAGGAAAAUCUCUAAACUAUUGCUAUUCUUACUUUCUGAGAUUUUAUCAUUUAUCUUUGUCUUGAAUUUAUAAAAAUGAUAUUUUCUUCUAGACUCUUUUUGACUUACUUGAACAUUGCAAGUUUAAUUUGUGUCAUAGCUGAGCUUUAUUUUCAGGAAGAAGUGAAAAGCAAACACGUAGACUUUUAAUUUGUAAAAUCUCCUUUUUGAGUGUUAAUCAAACUUUUUAAAAAGUGCCGUGUUUUCUAAGUAUUUAUAUGUAUUAGUAUUGUGUUUCUGUUGGAGUAAAUCAGAUCUUUAAAACUCGUUAAAAGAUAAGGCCUAGUGUCCAUAAUUAAGUCUGGGGCAAUCAGAUGGGAAUAGAAAUUAAUGGAGACAGACAUCAGCUUUGCUAAUCUGAUUUCACUUCCAUUCCUGAACAGGGCGCUUAGGGAAGGGCGUGUGGGCAGAAGACCAGGAGGCUCUGUGUGGGGUGGAGCUCAGAACACCGCUCUAGAAAAGGGUAGAGGCUAAAUUUCCUUUAAACUCAAUGGCCCGCAGCAAAGCGGGGAGAGUGCACAGAAUGGGGGCGAGUGUGGGUGAACGCAGAAGUCCUCGGAAGUCAGGGCUCCGGACGAUGAAGUAAACCUCAGGGGAGUUUGUGGCUGAGCUCCACUCUGCUUUGAGCGUGCCCGGGUCCCGUGGCAGGCUCAGCUGGCUCACUGGAGCUGUUGCUGGGCACCUCACAUUGCCCACUGCCACCCCCUCAGUCGACUGUUUUGGUGCGAGAUAUGCAGAAGAGGAAGCAGAGAGCCCCGCCGCAUCCUCACCUGCUGGGAUGAUGAAGUUGUGUAUAGGGUAAAAGCAUACCGAGGUCACUGCCCAGAAGCAGAGAAGUGGGCCCUGAGAAUUUAUUUCCCCUUAGAAUUAGAUCUAUAGAGAUUAAUCUUCACCAUGUUUCUCUUUCACCUAGGUCCACCAUUCUACAUCCCAGAUUCUGAAAUUAAAAGCCUGUUUGGAUCCUUGUGCAAUAUUCACUGUCUCGAGAAGGUUGAUGCUUUUGAGGAGCGACAUAAAAGUUGGGGAAUUGACUCCAUUGUUGAAAAGUUAUACCUAUUUACAGAAAAGUAAACAGGACAUAAAUAAAAGCAAGUAAUAUUCACUUGUUUUUUGAGCUUUGGGGCAACUGAAAAUUAUGUUAUGAUGUGAAACUAUAACAGGUGACUUUCGAAAAAAAUUGCUCACAAAUCUUACCACAGAUCUUUGCUCCAAAAUGCAUAUAACUUUUCAGAAAACCACUUCCCUCGUUAUUAGAGUAGCUGCCUUUAGAAUGGAGAGCAUGAUCAGGGGUGCAAGAUUCUACCUGUGUGUUUUACUUACAGACUGCAAGAAAUGUUUGGAAUCAGCAUUCCUUGUAUAAUUAAAAAUAAAAAAUGCAGUGUAUGUACAAGAAAUAUGACAGACAUAGAAAAAUUGGUAUACUUUGUUCUCUUUAUGUAAUUUUAUAUGUAACAGGAUCAAGAAACAAAUUUUAAAAUUAAAUAAAUCAACAUAUAUGGAACAAACUAUUUUUCCCAAACUGUAAAAAUAAAUUUUUUAAAGAAAGAC
Manis pentadactyla (Chinese pangolin) is the source of this 2565-nucleotide RNA transcript. It is a transcript of the gene named thiopurine S-methyltransferase, with no coding region annotated. Lineage: Eukaryota; Metazoa; Chordata; Mammalia; Pholidota; Manidae. The record is from RefSeq and is a predicted model, not a curated record. The transcript has 10 exons.